CCACCUUCGGUAGUAGAUAUAUUAAAAUUGGAAUGAUGCAGAGAAGAUUAGCAUGGCCCCUGCACAAGAAUGAAAUGCAAAUUCAUGAAGUGUUCCAUAUUUUC
Octopus sinensis (East Asian common octopus) is the source of this 104-nucleotide small nuclear RNA. The record is from RefSeq and is a predicted model, not a curated record. Lineage: Eukaryota; Metazoa; Mollusca; Cephalopoda; Octopoda; Octopodidae.